Long non-coding RNA from Homo sapiens (human), 658 nucleotides. Ensembl annotates it as GPC5 intronic transcript 1. Its record names the gene GPC5-IT1. The record is from Ensembl. NCBI's taxonomy places the organism in Eukaryota, Metazoa, Chordata, Mammalia, Primates, Hominidae.
GACUGAAAUGUGCUUAUGCAGCACAUAUAUAAUAAAAAUGAUAAAAGGCUACUCUCUUUAGAAGGACAGACAACAUUGACCACGAUAGUGCCUCAUGCAAAGGAGACAUUCUACAAAUGUGUUGGGAAUGGAAAGCAGAUAAAGAUGUGAUCGAGAUGAAAGAGAAAAAUGGCAUUUGGAAUUCUCCCUUCAGAGAUCAAAGUUAACAGUAUGGUGAUACGGCAUCCAAGGAAGACAGAAAUAACUGAUUUCAAGACAGCGAAAUUUCUACAAUUUACCAGUUAUUUAAAAGCUAGCAAACAAACAACGGCAUACUCACCUUCAUCUGUUGGGGGAAAAUUAUUUUUUGUCAUUGCUCACUUCAACAUGGGCGCAAUGAGAGAUAAGAGACACUAAGAAAUGAGUGUAGAAAUGAAUAUUUUUGCUCAUUCUGCUAGAAAAUAUAAUACUUAGUAGAAACAGAUUCCUGAAUUGCUACACUUUAAACAUGCAAUCACAUUUUACUAUUAUAUGCUAUACACAUACUCUAAAUGUUGUAAGCUUAAUAUUUCAGAUUGUAUAAGAGAUUUUGAGGCAUGUUAUUGUACAUACAAAUAACAUAAAUAGGGUUACCAUCCUAAUCCAAGGGUUACUUAGAAAAGAAACCAAUACUAUUUUU